AGCGAACGCUGGCGGCAGGCCUAACACAUGCAAGUCGAACGAACCUUUCGGGGUUAGUGGCGGACGGGUGAGUAACACGUGGGAACGUGCCUUUAGGUUCGGAAUAACUCAGGGAAACUUGUGCUAAUACCGAAUGUGCCCUUCGGGGGAAAGAUUAAUCGCCUUUAGAGCGGCCCGCGUCUGAUUAGCUAGUUGGUUGAGGUAAUGGCUCACCAAGGCGACGAUCAGUAGCUGGUCUGAGAGGAUGAUCAGCCACAUUGGGACUGAGACACGGCCCAAACUCCUACGGGAAGCAGCAGUGGGGAAUCUUGCGCAAUGGGCGAAAGCCUGACGCAGCCAUGCCGCGUGAAUGAUGAAGGUCUUAGGAUUGUAAAAUUCUUUCACCGGGGACGAUAAUGACGGUAACCGGAGAAGAAGCCCCGGCUAACUUCGUG
This 434-nucleotide ribosomal RNA is filed under the name uncultured bacterium. RNAcentral describes it as "partial 16S ribosomal RNA". It matches the Rfam family "Bacterial small subunit ribosomal RNA", at positions 29 to 507 of the family's 1533-position model. The record is from RNAcentral.